RNAcentral lists this ribosomal RNA (748 nucleotides) under uncultured bacterium. RNAcentral describes it as "bacterial SSU rRNA". It matches the Rfam family "Bacterial small subunit ribosomal RNA", at positions 60 to 805 of the family's 1533-position model. The record is from RNAcentral.
AGUCGAACGGAGUUACUUUGGUGAAGUUUUCGGAUGGAUCUGAUUUAACUUAGUGGCGGACGGGUGAGUAAUGCGUGAGCAACCUGCCCUUCAGAGGGGGACAACAGUUGGAAACGACUGCUAAUACCGCAUAAUGUAUUCGGAAGGCAUCUUCUGGAUACCAAAGGAGAAAUCCGCUGAUGGAUGGGCUCACGUCUGAUUAGCUAGUUGGUGAGGUAACGGCUCACCAAGGCUGCGAUCAGUAGCCGGACUGAGAGGUUGAACGGCCACAUUGGGACUGAGAUACGGCCCAGACUCCUACGGGAGGCAGCAGUGGGGAAUAUUGGGCAAUGGGCGAAAGCCUGACCCAGCAACGCCGCGUGAAGGAAGAAGGCCUUCGGGUUGUAAACUUCUUUUAAGAGGGACGAAGAAGUGACGGUACCUCUUGAAUAAGCCACGGCUAACUACGUGCCAGCAGCCGCGGUAAUACGUAGGUGGCGAGCGUUAUCCGGAUUUACUGGGUGUAAAGGGCGCGUAGGCGGGAAUGCAAGUCAGAUGUGAAAUCCAAGGGCUCAACCCUUGAACUGCAUUUGAAACUGUAUUUCUUGAGUGUCGGAGAGGUUGACGGAAUUCCUAGUGUAGCGGUGAAAUGCGUAGAUAUUAGGAGGAACACCAGUGGCGAAGGCGGUCAACUGGACGAUAACUGACGCUGAGGCGCGAAAGCGUGGGGAGCAAACAGGAUUAGAUACCCUGGUAGUCCACGCCGUAA